RNAcentral lists this ribosomal RNA (301 nucleotides) under uncultured bacterium. RNAcentral's name for it is "partial 16S ribosomal RNA". It matches the Rfam family "Bacterial small subunit ribosomal RNA", at positions 509 to 807 of the family's 1533-position model. The record is from RNAcentral.
CAGUCGCCACGGUAAAACAGAGGGUGCGAGCGUUAAUCUGAUUUACUGGGCGUAAAGCGUGCGUAGGCGGCUAAUUGAGUCGGAUGUGAAAUCCCCGAGCUUAACUUGGGAAUUGCAUUCGAUACUGGUUAGCUAGAGUUUGGGAGAGGAUGGUAGAAUUCCAGGUGUAGCGGUGAAAUGCGUAGAGAUCUGGAGGAAUACCGAUGGCGAAGGCAGCCAUCUGGCCUAAUACUGACGCUGAGGUACGAAAGCAUGGGGAGCAAACAGGAUUAGAUACCCGUGUAGUCCCUGUCUCUUAUAC